AGUGGGAAGAUAAUAAAUUUUGGAGGGGUAGAUAUGGAAAGAGGUAUAACAUAGUCCAGCUAUUAAAUUUAAACAAUUUUGAUUACAAAAAUUUAGUCCUUUAAUUUUACCUGGCAUAUAAGAGUGSCAGCAGCCGCGGUUAAACUCUAAGUUAAACUAUUAUUACAAUCAUAUCUACGAUAUAAAAAUAAAAUAUGCUAUACUAGUAAAAUAGAUAGCAUUUUAUACCUAAUGAUUUAUUAACUUAUAAAAUAAGAAUCUAGAAGCUAGGAUUAGAUACCCUACUAUCCUUGAUUKUUCAGUAGUAUGGGGCUGCGUUAGGGGAKUGGAGCCCGGKUUUUAUGGCGGCAGUUAGGUUUAUGGCGGCAAUUAUAAUUUACAGGGGAACUUACCACAUAAUAGACAACCACCAAGAAGAUGUACCUUUUAAAAAAAUUUGUAUACCGUCGUAUAAUGAAUCCUUUAAGGGUUAAUAAAACUUAAUAAAUUUAUCUUAUUACAGAUCAAGGUGCAAUAAAUUAAGAGGCGUAGGCGAGUUACAAUAAAUAUCAUUUCGGAAGUUGGCUUUAAUUACCUAAAGGAAGGUGGACUUGUAAGUAUAUAUUAUUGGUAUUAUUAAUGGAAUAAAUCAUAUAAUUGUGCACAAAUCGCCCGUC
RNAcentral lists this ribosomal RNA (656 nucleotides) under Arion ater rufus. RNAcentral describes it as "12S ribosomal RNA". Lineage: Eukaryota; Metazoa; Mollusca; Gastropoda; Stylommatophora; Arionidae. The record is from RNAcentral.